AGGUAGUUGGUGAGGUAACGGCCCACCAAGCCGACGAUCCAUAGCCGACCUGAGAGGGUGACCGGCCACAUUGGGACUGAGACACGGCCCAAACUCCUACGGGAGGCAGCAGUGGGGAAUAUUGCACAAUGGGGGAAACCCUGAUGCAGCGACGCCGCGUGAGCGAAGAAGUAUUUCGGUAUGUAAAGCUCUAUCAGCAGGGAAGAAAAUGACGGUACCUGACUAAGAAGCCCCGGCUAACUACGUGCCAGCAGCCGCGGUAAUACGUAGGGGGCAAGCGUUAUCCGGAUUUACUGGGUGUAAAGGGAGCGUAGACGGCUUUGCAAGUCUGAUGUGAAAGGCGGGGGCUCAACCCCUGGACUGCAUUGGAAACUGUGAGGCUUGAGUGCCGGAGAGGUAAGCGGAAUUCCUAGUGUAGCGGUGAAAUGCGUAGAUAUUAGGAGGAACACCAGUGGCGAAGGCGGCUUACUGGACGGUAACUGACGUUGAGGCUCGAAAGCGUGGGGAGCAAACAGGAUUAGAUACCCUGGUAGUCCACGCGGUAAACGAUGAAUACUAGGUGUUGGGUGUCACAGACAUUCGGUGCCGCAGCAAACGCAAUAAGUAUUCCACCUGGGGAGUACGUUCGCAAGAAUGAAACUCAAAGGAAUUGACGGGGACCCGCACAAGCGGUGGAGCAUGUGGUUUAAUUCGAAUCAACGCGAAGAACCUUACCAAGUCUUGACAUCUCCCUGACAGAGUAUGUAAUGUACUUUUCCUUCGGGACAGGGAAGACAGGUGGUGCAUGGUUGUCGUCAGCUCUCUCGUGAGAUGUUGGGUUAAGUCCCGCAACGAGCGCAACCCUUAUCCUCAGUAGCCAGCGGUUCGGCCGGGCACUCUGUGGAGACUGCCAGGGAUAACCUGGAGGAAGGUGGGGAUGACGUCAAAUCAUCAUGCCCCUUAUGACUUGGGCUACACACGUGCUACAAUGGCGUAAACAAAGGGAAGCAAGAGAGCGAUCUGGAGCAAAUCCCAAAAAUAACGUCCCAGUUCGGAUUGUAGUCUGCAACUCGACUACAUGAAGCUGGAAUCGCUAGUAAUCGCGAAUCAGAAUGUCGCGGUGAAUACGUUCCCGGGUCUUGUACACACCGCCCGUCACACCAUGGGAGUCGGUAACGCCCGAAGUCAGUGACCCAACCGAAAGGAGGGAGCUGCCGAAGGCGGGACUGGUAACUGGGGUGAAGUCGUAACAAGGUAGCCGUAUCGGAAGGUGCGGCUG
RNAcentral lists this ribosomal RNA (1258 nucleotides) under metagenome. RNAcentral's name for it is "bacterial SSU rRNA". It matches the Rfam family "Bacterial small subunit ribosomal RNA", at positions 243 to 1520 of the family's 1533-position model. The record is from RNAcentral.